CCUACGGGAGGCAGCAGUGGGGAAUAUUGGACAAUGGGCGAAAGCCUGAUCCAGCAAUGCCGCGUGAGUGAUGAAGGCCUUAGGGUCGUAAAGCUCUUUUACCCGGGAUGAUAAUGACAGUACCGGGAGAAUAAGCCCCGGCUAACUCCGUGCCAGCAGCCGCGGUAAUACGGAGGGGGCUAGCGUUGUUCGGAAUUACUGGGCGUAAAGCGUGCGUAGGCGGUUAUUCAAGUCAGAGGUGAAAGCCCGGGGCUCAACCCCGGAACGGCCUUUGAAACUAGGUAGCUAGAAUCUUGGAGAGGUCAGUGGAAUUCCGAGUGUAAAGGUGAAAUUCGUAGAUAUUCGGAAGAACACCAGUGGCGAAGGCGACUGACUGGACAAGUAUUGACGCUGAGGCACGAAAGCGUGGGGAGCAAACAGGAUUAGAUACCCUGGUAGUCCACGCCGUAAACGAUGAUAACUAGCUGUUCGGGUACUUGGUAUCUGAGUGGCGCGAGCUACGACAUUAAGUUAUUCCGUCCGUCGGGUAGGUACGGUCGGUCGAAGAAGUUAAACUAACAAAGAAGUUAGUACGGACGUGAGACGUGCCGAACGGACGACGACGACGGGAGGUAGG
This 616-nucleotide ribosomal RNA is filed under the name uncultured bacterium. RNAcentral's name for it is "bacterial SSU rRNA". The stretch from base 1 to 520 matches the Rfam family "Bacterial small subunit ribosomal RNA", at positions 338 to 873 of the family's 1533-position model. The record is from RNAcentral.